This 10172-nucleotide long non-coding RNA is filed under the name Eutrema salsugineum. RNAcentral's name for it is "long non-coding RNA (ESAL_LNC000223)". The record is from RNAcentral. Lineage: Eukaryota; Viridiplantae; Streptophyta; Magnoliopsida; Brassicales; Brassicaceae.
CCAGCAAGUGACAAGUAACGUUGCAAACCGUAAUAGAUAAGUGGAACUGCAUUUCACAAAAAAAAAAAAUCAAAUUCAGAGCUCUCACCGAACUUGGUACGAGUGCUCGUGCUGGUUUCGCUGGAGUAAUCAGAGACAAACCCAGUUUUCUAUCAAACCGAAAAACUGAUUUUAUCCCCAAUUUACGAAACCUUAAUUGCAAACUCAAUAAAUAACCACUGGUUUAAAUCAUAAAAAAAACGUUCGAUAGUGUGCUAAUUCCAUCCGAUGAACUCGACAAAACUAUAAUCCUCAACUAAAACAAAAGAUCAACUUACCUUGCUUAAUCGGUCGGCGAAAACAGUCUCUUUCACCGGCGUCGUCGAUUUCGACCAAAUGUUUUCGACGAAAAGACUAAACCUGAAGAAAUUUUUUUCUUCGCCUAAACCCGAUCAGGUCUCGAUGAUUUUGGGUUUACGCAGUGGAAAUCGUCGGUGUCGAAGAAAAAACAAAGUAUUGAGAAAUGAGAGAAGUCGAUAUGGUUGAAGAAGUUUGCUGAAAAAUUUGCCCGACAACGAAUAAGAGGGAGCCACAUGUCUAUGAACCCCUCAAAAAACAGUCUCAAAAGUCCGUCCUGAAGGGGUGGUUCAUCAAAUUUAUGGGCUUCACCUAUUUUUUUUUAAUUAUUAAUGGGUUAUGAACCCCACUUAUGAAUCCCAUUGAACCCUGUAUUGGACCUGCUCUUAAAAUAACGAGCUUUAUGAAGUCUUGAGAAAAGACAAUUUGUUUUUUCAAGUAAUCUCUGAUCGCUAACAAAAGCGGGGUUGUUGUUUUUGUUUUACUAAGCUUCAGGUUUUAAAUUUAUAAUUCCUAAAUGUCUGCAAGUGCACAGAUGUGCGCUGUAGUACUUAGGGUAUCGAUUCACAAAGACUUAAUUGUUUCAGUACGAAUUCACGGCAACGCUUAAAUCAGAUUAGAACUAAAUAAUUUGGGUUUUGGUUUUGGGUUUUGGUUAUCACUAAAUCUGAACUAGAAAGCUAAACAAGUAAAAGCAAACUAAAAUAAAAGCAAACAGAAGCAAGUAGUAAGCGAUUAAACAAGAGGUGAAUGGAAGCAAGGAACAAGCGAAUGAAAAGCAAAUAAAAUCGAAGGUUGUAAGCAAUGAAAGACAAACGUUGGGCAUCAAGGGUAAUUCGCAGGGGCUCAUGGACUAAGCUAUGUCGAUUUUAAACAUAUGAUAAAGGUAAUCAACUACGUAUGUUCUAGAACUCGAGGCAGGGAAGUAUGAAUAGCCUACUUUCGCAGCACUAAACAACUAUCUCUCGCAACCUUGAUCAGUAGGUUUCCACUCUGAUCCUGGAAGGGAGAAGAUGCAAUAACAGGACAAGACUCAUCAACAUUCACAAUUCAAAUACAGGUAGGUUUCCACUCCUAUAAAAUCAUUGCUCGUUUCACCCUAGUUCAUACAAUCAAUGAAAGCUUUCACAACAUAUCAUGUCAGAUCGGCUUCUAAGUGGCUAGCAAAGAAUCACGCAGUAAGAUUAAAGACAAACGAAGAACAUCUAGAAGAUUAAUAAUCCUAAAUCUAUCAAUUCAUAAGCAAAGACACAUGAAAUUUCCUUUGAAAAAUCCCUUUAAACCCAACUGGAUAACUACUCAAACAUAUUGUAAACAAUCAUCACAAAGUAUUGAAAGUUGCAGGAAAUUAAAGAAAAAUGGGAAGAAAAACGAAGAACAGAGUCGCAGAUGGAGGCACGAUGAUGCUCUCCUCGACGGCUCCUCCUUCAAAGGUGCCGGCUCCUAGGGCUUCUCACACGAACUCUCUCUCUUUCUAUCUUAUGUCGUCUACACCACACCUUUAGGAAUGACCUAAAGGGGGUAUUUAUAGCUUCUGGGGUGGUUCUGGACACUUAGGGCUUCAAAAAUAACGAGAGGAAUUGAUCUGGGCUUUAAUUAAGUUGUCUGGAAAGUGAACGACCAAAGUCCGUGGUCGCGUUGGCUAUACCCGCUGGAAAAUGGGUGUUGGCCGCGGUCCCAGCACACGGCUCUCUUCCGGAACUGCAUUUUCUGUCAUUCUUGCAUCGGAAGUAUCUGAAAAUCUAACCGUUGGAUUGUACCCAAACCAAGUGAAUUAGAAAGCUGGUUGGAUCAUCUAUGUUGUCUCAAAUUUUGGGGGUGAUCGGACGGUGAGAAGGUCUUCAUCGCUUGUCAUACUUCUGACGGUUUGCAUUUAUCCAAAAUUGCUCAUUUGUUCCAAAUUGCAUAUCUUUUGCCCAAUUUUCCUGUAAAAUAUUUUGAAACUCUAAAACAUUGAAAACACUUUAAAAACCGUUGAAAACAGAGUUAAAACACCUGCAUAAGACAUAAUUAUGAUCCAUAAAAGUGGUCAAAAUACGGUGUUAUCAACUCCUCUAGACUUACCUUUUUGUUUGUCCUCAAACAAACUUAAGUCAGGAAAGAAAUUUUUGAAAAUCGCAUGAACUAAACAAUAUCUCAGUGACCGACUUUCUAAACCAUAACUUAUCGUGAAACAUCUAUUUGGAUCUAGUCUAGAAAAUUCUCACCGAAAUACAAGUAAACUAGUCCGUUAAUCCGUCAUGCGAAAAUCUACACACUUAGAUCUAACUUUCAGUCAACUAGCUCUCUAAAUUCAUUAAGUAUAUUGUGAGUUCUCAUGAAAGUCAUCAUUCAGGGUAGACGGCGUUUGGUAUUAAGCGCCUUUUAAGUGGUGGAGCUUAAGUAUUUCGGGUUACCUGAAGAUUUGAAGGAUGCAAGAUAUUAUGCAAAACCGCAAGAGAGAGAAGGACCUGUUGAUGACCCGCAGAUUUUCAGUCACUUCUUCUUUGCCAAAAAUUGUUGCAUAAUCUUCCUCCUUUGUUGUAAACAGGUGUUCCCCCAGACUUAGAUCUUUUCUGGGAAUCAUAAAGAUAAUCUCCAAAACUCCAUAAAAUCGAAUCAUGUUUGCCUCAAGUAUAAAAUUCGAUCCUCCUAGACUCUCUAAGGUUUUAAGUUUCCUCUCCCUUGUAUUUUUGUUUUCUCUUUUUAGGAUUAUUACUUUUUUUUUUUGGAAAAGGAAAUAACCUUUCAUAGAGAGAGAGAGUCUAAGGGACGAAAUUGUACCAAAAUUUUGAAGUUUUUCCAAGGCAAAUUGAGUUUUCUCCUUUUGUUGAAUCAUUCCAAUGAAAUCGCAGGCCUCCGUCUUCAGUGACUGAAAACCGUGUUGAUCCUCUUUCUCUCCGACAUAUUUGCACAUAUCUGCAUAUAGAAUAAUGAAAAACAAGAAUGCAUGUGGUUUGAAAUAGGUUAGGUUCGGUGGGGAACUAGCUAAAGGUAAACUAGCCAUUCAGGAUCAACAAAGAGUGGUAAAAGGAUAUAGUAGUCCUGAAUGUAUGAUUCGUUUCCCUGGUCUAAUGCUUUAAUGAGAAAAUUAAGUCAAAAUUAAGUCCAGAUAAAAUGAGUUAGUAUAUCCUGUCAGAAAGAAUCUCCAUGAAUAGAAGUCCUCUGGUGGGAUUUCGUAAUGCAAGUAUUCUAGCUACCGCUUAGUCUAGGCCUAAAUCACAAAAAGAGCAAAAAACGAUGAAAUAGCGUAGAAGCACACUGGUCUAAUUCAUCAUAGUAUUGUUUAUUGUGUCCUGGUUUGAAAACUUUUUUGAAAAACAUUUUGAAAACGAUUUUUGAAAAAAUUUUAUGAAGAAUUUUGAAAAACGUUUUGAAAAAUUUUAUGUGUCCAAAACAAACUCAAAACAAAUCAAAUUUCAUUAGUAACGGAUGAACAUCCUCCUCCAGACUUAUUUCACACUGUCCUCAGUGUGAUAAAUCUUGGAAAGAAUGGUAAAGAAAAUAGAAAAGUUGAAAUGUUUAAGAGUACUUAUCGUGCUGGAGAGUGCUGCUCGUCUUUUGUGUUUGUUCUUCCUUAUUGAAAACCUGAAAUUAAAUGAAACAGAAACAAAGCAAUGGAAAUAGAAAAUAAAAUUCAAAGGGAAAUAAAUAAAAUACCAAGUGGGUUGCUUCCCACUAAGCGCUUGUUUCAAGUCGUUAGCUUGACAUUGUUGCUCGAUUAGACUUAACCGGGGUCGUGACACUCCUUGGUCUCAUCAUUGGCCGAUGACGGAUCAAUCAAAAACAUCACUUCUCUUUCGUCUCCUGUUUCUUCAGCCAGAUAUGGUUUUACACGCUGUCCAUUCACUGUGAAUGAGUUUUCGGUUUUGUCCCACAGGACAAUGGCUCCGUAUGGCUUGACUUUCUUUAUCAUGAACGGUCCUGACCAUCUUGAACGUAAUUUUCCUGAAAAAAGCUUAAGACGAGAAUUAAAAAGAAGAACUUUAUCGUUAAGAGCAAAAGUUCUAUGAAUGAUCUUCUUAUCAUGAUAUGCUUUAGUCUUCUCCUUGUAGAUCUUCGAGUUUUCAUAAGCAUUGUGUCGGAUUUCUUCUAACUCGUGAAGUUGAAGUAGUCUUCUUUCUCCAGCUGUUUUCAAGUUCAUAUUCAUCUCCUUGAUAGCCCAUUGCGCCUUAUACUCAAGUUCUACUGGAAGGUGACAUGUUUUUCCGUAAACUAGAUUGAAUUGUGUUGUUCCUAAUGGCGUCUUGAAUGCUGUUCGAUAUGCCCAUAAUGCGUCGUCAAGCUUGGUAGACCAAUCCUUGCAAUGAACUGAAGUUGUUUUCUGCAAAUUCAACUUGAUUUCUCUGUUUGAUAUUUCUACUUGACCGCUGGUUUGGGGAUGGUAUGGAGAAGCAACUUUAUGUGUAACUCCAUUCUUUCUAAGAAGAUUCUCGAAAACUCUGUUGAUGAAAUGUGAUCCUCCGUCGCUUAUCACAAUUCUAGGAACUCCAAAACACGGGAAUAUAACAGAUUUAAACAGCUUCAUGACGAUUUUCGCAUCAUUGGUGGGACUAGCGAUUGCUUCAACCCACUUAGAGACGUAGUCUACUGCUACUAAGAUGUAUUGGUUUCCAAAAGAAGUAGGAAAUGGUCCCAUAAAAUCUAUUCCCCAGACAUCGAAAAUUUCGACUUCGAGAAUAAAAUUUUGAGGCAUCUCAUUCUUUUUGCUUAUGUUGCCCAUCCUCUGGCAUUUAUCGCAUCGCGAUAUAUAAGCUUGAGUAUCUUUGAAUAAAGUAGGCCACCAAAAACCUGCUUGUAAGAUAUUUGAAGCAGUUUUGAAGGUUGCGAAAUGUCCUGCGUAAGACGAGCUAUGGCAUCCGAAUAAAAUUCCUUCCAUCUCUUCUUCAGCCACGCAUCUUCGGAAUAACCCAUCAGCACAUCUCUUAUAGAGAUAGGGUUCAUCCCAAAAAUAAUGUCUUACGUCUUUCAGAAACUUUUUCUUCCUAUAACCGAAAAAUUGAGGUGGUUCUACAUCAGCUGCUCGGUAAUUCGCUAUGUGCCUAACCCAUGGGGUGUUGAAAGCAUCUGAUCUUCGCAUGAGUGAACGUGCUGGUGCGGUAUUGGCAUUGGUGGGGGUAGUAUCUAUUGCAUAGAUGUUUUCUUCAGGCAAACUGUCAUUUAGAGGCAAUCUUUCUUCAACUCGAAUUCGUGAAAGAUGGUCUGCAACUCCAUUAUCUGCUCCUUUUCGAUCUCGAAUUUCGAUAUCGCGUUCUUGCAGUAGGAGGAUCCAUCUUAUCAACCUCGGUUUAGCGUCUUUCUUAGACAUUAAAUACUUGAUUGCAGCAUCAUCAGUAUGAACUAUAACCUUAGAUCCUACGAGAUAAGAACGGAAUUUCUCAAAUGCAAAUACGACAGCUAGAAGUUCUUUCUCUGUUGUAGCAUAAUUGCAUUAAGCUUCGUCUAGAGUUCUGCUUGCGUAGUAGAUUACGUGCAGUUUCUUAUCUUUUCGUUGGCCAAGCACUGCUCUGACUGCAUAGUCACUUGCAUCGCACAUGAUUUCGAAUGGAAGUUCCCAAUCAGGUGCUUGCACAAUUGGAGCGGAGACAAGAGCUUCUUUGAUCUUAUGAAACGCGGCUAAGCACUCAUCAUCGAACUCGAAGUUCGUUUCCUUGCAAAGCAAACGCGUAAGGGGUCUAGCUAUUUGAGAAAAAUCUUUUAUGAAGCGCCUAUAGAAUCCUGCGUGUCCUAAGAAACUACAAAUUCCUUUUACGUUUGUGGGAGGUUGUAGGCUGGUCAUGACUUCGAUUUUAGCUCUGUCAACUUCAGUUCCUUUUCCCGAAAUUCUAUGCCCAACCACGAUUUCGUCUCGUACCAUGAAGUGACAUUUUUCCCAAUUUAAUACUAAAUGCUUAUCUCACAUCUUUUCAGAACUUUACCAAGGUUGGCUAAGCAUUUUUCAAAAGAAGAUCCAUGGAAAGAGAAAUCGUCCAUGAACACUUCCAUGAAAUCCUCAAUAAAAUCUGUGAAGAUCGACAUCAUGCACCGCUGGAAGGUAGCAGGUGCAUUACACAAUCCAAAAGGCAUAUGUCGGUAAGCGAACGUGCCAUAUGGACAAGUGAAUGUCGUUUUUUCUUGAUCCUCCGGGCGAACAGGAAUUUGGAAGAAUCCGGAGUAUCCAUCAAGGAAGCAAUAGUAGGGGUGAUUAGCUAACCUUUCUUGCAUUUGAUCUAUGAAGGGAAGUGGAAAAUGAUCUUUCCUAGUUGCUGCGUUCCGUUUCCGGUAAUCGAUGCACAUACGAUGUCCAAUUACUGUUCUUGUAGUGAUAAUUUCAUCUUUAUCAUUUUUAACGACAGUGACUCCUCCUUUAUUAGGAACAACAUGAAAUGGGCUAACCCAAGUGCUAUCUGAGAUAGGAAAGAUUAUUCCAGCUUCUAAAAGCUUCAUAAUCUCCUUCUUGACAACAUCCAUGAGAUUAGGGUUCAGUCUCCUUUGACUUUCGAUUGAGUUUUUAGCAUUAUGCUCUAGAGUUGUCUUGUGCAUACAAAGAUCUGGAGAGAUUCCAGGUAUGUCAUCAAGUGAAUAUCCUAAGGCUUUUCUAUGCUUUCUCAGCUCAGUCAACAGCAUUGUAGUUUCUUCUUCCGUCAAACCAGAAUUUAUUUUGACAGGAUAAGUAGAAUUUGGUCCAAGGAAGGCGUACUUAAGUCCGACGGGAAGAGGUUUAAGCUCGACUUUAGGGGCUUUAAGCUCGCUCCAAGGAUCAUUAAUUGCUGAAGCAGUGUCUUUAGGGGGUGUAGGAAUGUUUGUUUGGUCCUUAAGAUCUAGAUAGUUUAGAGGUUUCCUAUAAGUUUCAGAUUUAUCAAGCAUACGUGCACACUCACUUGAAAUUUCUUCAAGAAAAUUGCGUUCAUCUUUUGCGGGUGAAAGCGUGACACUUAAAGGGUUGUCUAGAAGCUGAUCUUCAUAGACUUCCUCAAUAACUCCGUCUAACUCAUCAACCCAACAAAUUUUUCCAUCCAGAGUCGGUUUAUCGAAACUUUUGUUCAUGUCAAACUGCAUAACUAGGUCGGCUAGAUGAAGGUCGAUUUUUCCUUCAUGAACAUUGAUGAUGGCUCCGGCUGUAGAUAGGAAUGGUUGUCCAAGAAUAAGUGGAUCCUUAGGUUCUCUUUCUAGUUCUAGAACUACGAAAUCGGUGGGUGAUGUCGUGUCAACUGCGUGAGGGAACAAGUUUUACCCUUAACAAAACAAAUGAAAGCCGCAAGUGCACAGCUAAUCAGUUGUAGUAUUUAGGGAUCGAAUCCACAGAGAUUUGUGUGCCUGGUAUUCUUCUACGGUUUUUUUUUUGUUUUAUGUCUAGACUAAAUUGGUUUUAAAGGUUGGUUGUUUGUUUUGCGAACUAAACUAAAAACAGAGAAAGCAAAUAAAUCCAUCCUAAAAGCAAGUAAGAAAAUCGAAUGAAAUGCAAUUAGAAUAAGCAAAAUAUCGAAUGAAAGACUAAUAAGGCAAGAGAAAUAUUGCAUGAAAGGUAAAUUAAGCAAGUAAAAUAUCGAACUAAGGGAAUUGAAAUGCAAGUCUAAGAAAACAAUAAAAAUCGAUGGAGUUGUAAACUAUGGCUAAAAACGCUGAGCUUUUGGGAACUCUAAGGGAUCAUAAUCGGUUUCAACACUAAGGUAGAUAGAUUGGGAUUGACGGAUAACGAUAUAUGGGUUCUAGAGCUAGAGUACGGCGGUAUGACUACGUCACUGUCGUGAUCAUAACCAACUGUUUCUCGCAACCCUGACCAGUAGGUUUCCACUCUGGCCCUAGAAGGGAGAGAACGCAAGAGCUGCACAAGACUCGUCAAUACUCACGAUCUCGCCGCAGGUAGGUUUCCACUCCUACAGAAAAAUCGCCUGUUUCAUUCUAGGGCUGAUACUUAAUGAAAACUUUCGCAACACCAACUAUCUAGAUCAGAUACUAGGUGAUCAAUCAAGCAUACAUGCAAUAAGAACAAUAAUAACCAGAGAACAGGUCGAAAUCCCAGAUCUAUAAACCUAGAUGUCUUAAUCGAUUAUGAGAGCCCCUUUCGGGAACCCUAAGCCCAACUCGGGAUCUACUCAGACAUGGCUGAGGUCGACAUCAUCAUCGGUUUAAUAAAAGUAAUGAAAAACACUAAAGAAAAGAGAUAAAGAAAGCUUCUCUAUUGAAGAACUCGGACUUGAACAAUCUUCUACAAAAAUCUCAUAAAAACGGCUGAAAGAAAAGGGUUUCUGUAAAGUAUGAAGGGUGGUGUCUAAAAACGACCUAAAUGACAUGUAUUUAUAGUCUCCAAUACUCCAUGGUCUCUAGGGUUCCGAAAUUGAGGCUGAGAAUGACUUUGGGCUUCAGAUAUGUGGGCUUUAACUCGGAGAUUGAUUGUCGCGGUCGGGAGUGUUGUGACCGCGGCAAAUAGCUUGUUGGCCGCGGUCGGGAAGCUUCUGACCGCGGCAAAUAGCUUGUUGGCCGCGGUCGCGUGAGCUGCUGGCCGACUUCGAGUGGCUCCGGGGCUCAUGAAAUAUCUUGAGAUCCAACCGUUGGAAUGUCUCCAAACCAAGUGUAUUUGAAAGCUGGUUGAUUCUUCUAUAAGUUGUCCAAUUUUGAGGGUGAUCAGACGGUGAGAAGGUCUUCGUCUCUCCAUGAGAGUUCUGAUGGUCUGCAUUUAUCCAAAAGAGUCUUUUUGUUCCAUUUUGUGCCUCUUUAUCCCAAAUUACCUGAAAAGUCUUUUAAAAUCCGGAAACAUAGAAAUCCUUUGAAAACCUUUGAAAAUGGAGUAAAAACACCUGUAAAAGAUAUUAAAAUGAUCCAUAAAAAUGGUCAAAAUCCGAUGUUAUCAGUGGGAAUGGAACAUUUUUCGAUUUGGACAGGAACAUCAAUUAAGAUACCUACGGGUUGUCUAACCGAACGAUCAGCUAAUACUAAGGAAAUUUUAGUGUGCUGGAAAGUGUGGUGUCCUAAAUGUUUUGCUACUGAAAGAGGCAUCAUGUUUAUGCUAGAUCCUAAAUCACAGAGAGCACGCUCAAAAGCUACAUCAUUGAUGGUGCAUGAAAGUACAAAGCUUCCAGGAUCAUUUUUAUUUUCAGGGAUUCGGCUUUGCAGGAUAGAACUACAUUCAUGAGUUAUCAUCAUAACACCUUCUUCAAGAGUUAAAGAAUUUGUUAGAAUACCCUUCAUAUAUUUUCUUAAAGCUGGAAUCAUAGCACAAGCUUCUACGAAAGGUAAUCUCAAAUUUAAUUGAUCAAUCAAAUCUUUCAGCUUAGCUUUUUCUUUCUCUUUCUUAGGGGCUCUUAAGGCUCUAGGAUAUGGAGGUUUAGGUUUAUAGACACGAGUUGGUGGAGGUGGAAUUGGGUCUUCUCCGAGAAUUUCCCGGGACGUAUCUUCUCUUACUUCUUCUCCAUCCUUCUCUCCUACCACUUCUUUUUCAACAUCUUCAAUCGUGAUUCUUUCUCUUUCUUUCUCCUUUUCCUUACCCUUGUCCUUAUCUUCGAGAUCUUUAGGAAAUUCAGGCUCUUUGUAAGCUAAUCCACUCCUAAGUGUGAUAGCUUUCACAUGAUCGGAGGGAUCUGCUUCACUUGAGCUUUCGAAAGAGUUUUCACUUUUCUCCUUAUCGGAAUUAUCUAUGUUUUUAGAAUUAGUUUUGAUCAUUAGACUAAGGAGGGUGGAAAAUUUUUCAUUGAAAUCUUUUUGCAUCGUUUUUAGUUCAGAUUUAAGAUCACUAAUCUCUUGAGACCUAGAUUUUUCAAGCUCUAGAAUAUUUUUGUUUAGAUUUUCAGCUUCAGAAGAGGAAAACUAGGAUAUGGCACAGGAUUAGAUUGAAUAGCCAAGAUUGGUUCGGAAGGUGAUUUCCAGGCUAGCUCGGAAGA